RNAcentral lists this ribosomal RNA (2392 nucleotides) under Bacillus cereus. RNAcentral's name for it is "bacterial LSU rRNA". It matches the Rfam family "Bacterial large subunit ribosomal RNA", at positions 3 to 2396 of the family's 2925-position model. The record is from RNAcentral. Lineage: Bacteria; Bacillati; Bacillota; Bacilli; Caryophanales; Bacillaceae.
UUAAGUUAGAAAGGGCGCACGGUGGAUGCCUUGACACUAGGAGUCGAUGAAGGACGGGACUAACGCCGAUAUGCUUCGGGGAGCUGUAAGUAAGCUUUGAUCCGAAGAUUUCCGAAUGGGGAAACCCACCAUACGUAAUGGUAUGGUAUCCUUAUCUGAAUACAUAGGGUAAGGAAGACAGACCCAGGGAACUGAAACAUCUAAGUACCUGGAGGAAGAGAAAGCAAAUGCGAUUUCCUGAGUAGCGGCGAGCGAAACGGAACAUAGCCCAAACCAAGAGGCUUGCCUCUUGGGGUUGUAGGACAUUCUAUACGGAGUUACAAAGGAACGAGGUAGACGAAGCGACCUGGAAAGGUCCGUCGUAGAGGGUAACAACCCCGUAGUCGAAACUUCGUUCUCUCUUGAAUGUAUCCUGAGUACGGCGGAACACGUGAAAUUCCGUCGGAAUCUGGGAGGACCAUCUCCCAAGGCUAAAUACUCCCUAGUGAUCGAUAGUGAACCAGUACCGUGAGGGAAAGGUGAAAAGCACCCCGGAAGGGGAGUGAAAGAGAUCCUGAAACCGUGUGCCUACAAAUAGUCAGAGCCCGUUAACGGGUGAUGGCGUGCCUUUUGUAGAAUGAACCGGCGAGUUACGAUCCCGUGCGAGGUUAAGCUGAAGAGGCGGAGCCGCAGCGAAAGCGAGUCUGAAUAGGGCGUUUAGUACGUGGUCGUAGACCCGAAACCAGGUGAUCUACCCAUGUCCAGGGUGAAGUUCAGGUAACACUGAAUGGAGGCCCGAACCCACGCACGUUGAAAAGUGCGGGGAUGAGGUGUGGGUAGCGGAGAAAUUCCAAUCGAACCUGGAGAUAGCUGGUUCUCCCCGAAAUAGCUUUAGGGCUAGCCUUAAGUGUAAGAGUCUUGGAGGUAGAGCACUGAUUGGACUAGGGGUCCUCAUCGGAUUACCGAAUUCAGUCAAACUCCGAAUGCCAAUGACUUAUCCUUAGGAGUCAGACUGCGAGUGAUAAGAUCCGUAGUCAAAAGGGAAACAGCCCAGACCGCCAGCUAAGGUCCCAAAGUGUGUAUUAAGUGGAAAAGGAUGUGGAGUUGCUUAGACAACUAGGAUGUUGGCUUAGAAGCAGCCACCAUUUAAAGAGUGCGUAAUAGCUCACUAGUCGAGUGACUCUGCGCCGAAAAUGUACCGGGGCUAAAUACACCACCGAAGCUGCGGAUUGAUACCGAAUGGUAUCAGUGGUAGGGGAGCGUUCUAAGGACAGUGAAGUCAGACCGGAAGGACUGGUGGAGUGCUUAGAAGUGAGAAUGCCGGUAUGAGUAGCGAAAGACGGGUGAGAAUCCCGUCCACCGAAUGCCUAAGGUUUCCUGAGGAAGGCUCGUCCGCUCAGGGUUAGUCAGGACCUAAGCCGAGGCCGACAGGCGUAGGCGAUGGACAACAGGUUGAUAUUCCUGUACCACCUCUUUAUCGUUUGAGCAAUGGAGGGACGCAGAAGGAUAGAAGAAGCGUGCGAUUGGUUGUGCACGUCCAAGCAGUUAGGCUGAUAAGUAGGCAAAUCCGCUUAUCAUAAAGGCUGAGCUGUGAUGGGGAAGCUCCUUAUGGAGCGAAGUCUUUGAUUCCCCGCUGCCAAGAAAAGCUUCUAGCGAGAUAAAAGGUGCCUGUACCGCAAACCGACACAGGUAGGCGAGGAGAGAAUCCUAAGGUGUGCGAGAGAACUCUGGUUAAGGAACUCGGCAAAAUGACCCCGUAACUUCGGGAGAAGGGGUGCUUUCUUAACGGAAAGCCGCAGUGAAUAGGCCCAAGCGACUGUUUAGCAAAAACACAGCUCUCUGCGAAGCCGUAAGGCGAAGUAUAGGGGGUGACACCUGCCCGGUGCUGGAAGGUUAAGGAGAGGGGUUAGCGUAAGCGAAGCUCUGAACUGAAGCCCCAGUAAACGGCGGCCGUAACUAUAACGGUCCUAAGGUAGCGAAAUUCCUUGUCGGGUAAGUUCCGACCCGCACGAAAGGUGUAACGAUUUGGGCACUGUCUCAACCAGAGACUCGGUGAAAUUAUAGUACCUGUGAAGAUGCAGGUUACCCGCGACAGGACGGAAAGACCCCGUGGAGCUUUACUGUAGCCUGAUAUUGAAUUUUGGUACAGUUUGUACAGGAUAGGCGGGAGCCAUUGAAACCGGAGCGCUAGCUUCGGUGGAGGCGCUGGUGGGAUACCGCCCUGACUGUAUUGAAAUUCUAACCUACGGGUCUUAUCGACCCGGGAGACAGUGUCAGGUGGGCAGUUUGACUGGGGCGGUCGCCUCCUAAAGUGUAACGGAGGCGCCCAAAGGUUCCCUCAGAAUGGUUGGAAAUCAUUCGUAGAGUGCAAAGGCAUAAGGGAGCUUGACUGCGAGACCUACAAGUCGAGCAG